UUAUUUUUGUAUAGGAUUAAGGUGUUUUAGCAAUGGGGAAGGUUUGCAAAGAGUUUUGUGUUGAUUUCAUGGGACUUCUCAUGGUAAUGGUUAUUGCUCUCACUCUCAUUCUCAUUUGCUCUUCUCCUCGGAGGCGAGUUGUGAUGUGUCGCUUUCCUUAACAACGCUUAGAAUCUAUUGUCAUAAACAACCUCUUCCUUUGCGGGUAAAGUGGCAUAUAUCUAUCAUUUUCAGAUGCUAUUGGUCGGAGCCUCGUAUAUUAUGGCUCUUUAUGGAGUUUUAUGUGCAUAAACCAAAUGUUGAUUCCUCCUAUUUUCACACUCUUGUGUGGUUUUUAUGUUGUGUAAACCAUAUUAGUAGAAAGGAAAUAAAGCUUUAACCUUUUCUUUUGGUGUUUGUCUUGCAUCUCUUAUUAUGAAGGGAUUCAAAUGUCCAAAAAUAGGUCUCUCUAAAUAUUUAAUUGCCCAAUUGCGCAUACUAUAAUGUACAAC
Molecule: long non-coding RNA, 491 nt
Filed under: Lupinus angustifolius (narrow-leaved blue lupine)
Lineage: Eukaryota; Viridiplantae; Streptophyta; Magnoliopsida; Fabales; Fabaceae
Description: long non-coding RNA (LANG_LNC000232)
Source: RNAcentral